AUUGAACGCUGGCGGCAUGCUUUACACAUGCAAGUCGAACGCGAAAGCGGGGGCAACCCUGCCGGUAGAGUGGCGAACGGGUGAGUAAUACAUCGGAACGUAUCCUCGCGUGGGGGACAACCAGUCGAAAGACGGGCUAAUACCGCAUACGCUGGAGACAGGAAAGCAGGGGACCCGCAAGGGCCUUGUGCGCAUGGAGCGGCCGAUGUCUGAUUAGCUAGUUGGUGGGGAAAGGCUCACCAAGGCGACGAUCAGUAGCUGGUCUGAGAGGAUGAUCAGCCACACUGGGACUGAGACACGGCCCAGACUCCUACGGGAGGCAGCAGUGGGAAUUUUGGACAAUGGGGCAACCCUGAUCCAGCCAUGCCGCGUGAGGGAAGAAGG
This 384-nucleotide ribosomal RNA is filed under the name uncultured bacterium. Its description in RNAcentral is "bacterial SSU rRNA". It matches the Rfam family "Bacterial small subunit ribosomal RNA", at positions 29 to 414 of the family's 1533-position model. The record is from RNAcentral.